RNAcentral lists this ribosomal RNA (465 nucleotides) under uncultured bacterium. Its description in RNAcentral is "partial 16S ribosomal RNA". It matches the Rfam family "Bacterial small subunit ribosomal RNA", at positions 28 to 507 of the family's 1533-position model. The record is from RNAcentral.
GAUGAACGCUGGCGGCGUGCUUAACACAUGCAAGUCGAACGGAAAGGCUCCUGCUUGCAGGGGUACUCGAGUGGCGAACGGGUGAGUAACACGUGGGUGAUCUGCCCUGCACUUCGGGAUAAGCCUGGGAAACUGGGUCUAAUACCGGAUAGGACGAUGGUUUGGAUGCCAUUGUGGAAAGUUUUUCGGUGUGGGAUGAGCUCGCGGCCUAUCAGCUUGUUGGUGGGGUAAUGGCCUACCAAGGCGUCGACGGGUAGCCGGCCUGAGAGGGUGUGCGGCCACAUUGGGACUGAGAUACGGCCCAGACUCCUACGGGAGGCAGCAGUGGGGAAUAUUGCACAAUGGGCGCAAGCCUGAUGCAGCGACGCCGCGUGGGGGAUGACGGCCUUCGGGUUGUAAACUCCUUUCGCUAGGGACGAAGCGCAAGUGACGGUACCUGGAGAAGAAGCACCGGCUAACUACGUG